AGACGGGGGUUUCACCAUGUUGGCCGGGCUGGUUUCGAACUCCUGACCUCGUGAUCCACCCGCCUCGGCCUCCCAAAGGGCUGGAAGUACAGCGGGAGCCACUGCGCCCAGCCAGCUGUCUUUAUUUCUCUCUA
RNAcentral lists this non-coding RNA (134 nucleotides) under Pongo abelii (Sumatran orangutan). The record is from RNAcentral. Lineage: Eukaryota; Metazoa; Chordata; Mammalia; Primates; Hominidae.